GGGGUUUUUGUUUGGAGAGUUUGAUCCUGGCUCAGGACGAACGCUGGCGGCGUGCUUAACACAUGCAAG
RNAcentral lists this ribosomal RNA (69 nucleotides) under Mycolicibacterium fortuitum. RNAcentral describes it as "partial 16S ribosomal RNA". The stretch from base 9 to 69 matches the Rfam family "Bacterial small subunit ribosomal RNA", at positions 1 to 61 of the family's 1533-position model. Lineage: Bacteria; Bacillati; Actinomycetota; Actinomycetes; Mycobacteriales; Mycobacteriaceae. The record is from RNAcentral.